Molecule: ribosomal RNA, 433 nt
Filed under: uncultured bacterium
Lineage: Bacteria
Description: partial 16S ribosomal RNA
Rfam family: Bacterial small subunit ribosomal RNA
Source: RNAcentral
AACGAACGCUGGCGGCAUGCCUAACACAUGCAAGUCGAACGAGACCUUCGGGUCUAGUGGCGCACGGGUGCGUAACGCGUGGGAACCUGCCCUUAGGUUCGGAAUAACUCCCCGAAAGGGGUGCUAAUACCAGAUAAUGUCUUCGGACCAAAGAUUUAUCGCCUUUGGAUGGGCCCGCGUUGGAUUAGCUAGUUGGUAGGGUAAAAGCCUACCAAGGCGACGAUCCAUAGCUGGUCUGAGAGGAUGAUCAGCCACACUGGGACUGAGACACGGCCCAGACUCCUACGGGAGGCAGCAGUGGGGAAUAUUGGACAAUGGGCGAAAGCCUGAUCCAGCAAUGCCGCGUGAGUGAUGAAGGCCUUAGGGUUGUAAAGCUCUUUUACCCGGGAUGAUAAUGACAGUACCGGGAGAAUAAGCUCCGGCUAACCCCGUG